Molecule: ribosomal RNA, 268 nt
Filed under: Bacillus licheniformis
Lineage: Bacteria; Bacillati; Bacillota; Bacilli; Caryophanales; Bacillaceae
Description: partial 23S ribosomal RNA
Rfam family: Bacterial large subunit ribosomal RNA
Source: RNAcentral
AACAGUGGUAGGAGAGCGUUCUAAGGGCUGUGAAGCGAGACCGGAAGGACUCGUGGAGCGCUUAGAAGUGAGAAUGCCGGUAUGAGUAGCGAAAGAGGGGUGAGAAUCCCCUCCACCGAAUGCCUAAGGUUUCCUGAGGAAGGCUCGUCCGCUCAGGGUUAGUCGGGACCUAAGCCGAGGCCGAAAGGCGUAGGCGAUGGACAACAGGUUGAUAUUCCUGUACCACCUCCUCACCAUUUGAGCAAUGGGGGGACGCAGGAGGAUAGGG